GUAAAAUAUAAGGUCCAGGCGUGGCCAUUUUAGUUGCUGGUGUUAAGUUGUGGUGGUUGCUGGUCAGUAACAGCCAAGAUGCUGCGGAAUCUGCUGGCUCUCCGUCAGACUGGACAGAGAACCAUAAGCACAACUUCCCGCAGGCAUUUUAAAAAUAAAGUUCCAGAGAAACAAAAACUGUUCCAGGAGGAUGAUGAAAUUCCACUGUAUCUAAAGGGUGGGAUAGCUGAUGUCCUCCUGUAUAGAGCCACCAUGGUUCUUACAAUUGGUGGAACAGCAUAUGCCAUGUUAUCAGCUGGCUGUGGCUGCAUUUCCCAAGAAGCAGGAGUGACUUCAAUCAUCCCAGCAAUCACUAGGUUCAGUUUCAUUCCGCUCUCUAUGGACCAGUAAUCUGAUAACCGAGCUCUUCUCUGGGGAUCAAUAUUUAUUGACUUGUAGUAACUGCCGCCAAUAAAGCAGUCUUUACCAUGAAAAAAAAA
This is an RNA transcript of Piliocolobus tephrosceles (Ugandan red Colobus), 479 nucleotides long. It is a transcript of the gene named cytochrome c oxidase subunit 7A2, mitochondrial pseudogene, with no coding region annotated. The transcript has a single exon. NCBI's taxonomy places the organism in Eukaryota, Metazoa, Chordata, Mammalia, Primates, Cercopithecidae. The record is from RefSeq and is a predicted model, not a curated record.